GACGAACGCUGGCGGCGUGCCUAAUACAUGCAAGUCGAGCGAACUUGCGGGAGCUUGCUCCCAAAAGUUAGCGGCGGACGGGUGAGUAACACGUGGGCAACCUGCCUGUAAGACUGGGAUAACUUCGGGAAACCGGAGCUAAUACCGGAUAAUUCUUAUCAACACAUGUUGGUAAGCUAAAAGACGGCGCAAGCUGUCACUUACAGAUGGGCCCGCGGCGCAUUAGCUAGUUGGUGAGGUAACGGCUCACCAAGGCAACGAUGCGUAGCCGACCUGAGAGGGUGAUCGGCCACACUGGGACUGAGACACGGCCCAGACUCCUACGGGAGGCAGCAGUAGGGAAUCUUCCGCAAUGGACGAAAGUCUGACGGAGCAACGCCGCGUGAGUGAUGAAGGUUUUCGGAUCGUAAAACUCUGUUGUUAGGGAAGAACAAGUACGAGAGUAACUGCUCGUACCUUGACGGUACCUAACCAGAAAGCCACGGCUAACUACGUG
This 496-nucleotide ribosomal RNA is filed under the name uncultured bacterium. Its description in RNAcentral is "bacterial SSU rRNA". It matches the Rfam family "Bacterial small subunit ribosomal RNA", at positions 28 to 507 of the family's 1533-position model. The record is from RNAcentral.